AGAACGAACGCUGGCGGCGUGGAUAAGACAUGCAAGUCGAACGGGAUUACUUUUGUAGCAAUACAGAAGUAAUUUAGUGGCGAACGGGUGCGUAACACGUGGGCAAUCUGCCGAAAAGUGGGGGAUAGCUCGCCGAAAGGCGAAUUAAUACCGCAUGUGGUGAGGGACGACAUCUUCCUGAAUCCAAAGCCGGGGCAACCUGGCGCUUUUUGAGGAGCCCGCGGCCUAUCAGCUAGUUGGUGAGGUAACGGCUCACCAAGGCUUUGGACGGGUAGCUGGUCUGGAGAGGACGACCAGUACACACUAGGAACUGAGACACGGUCCAGACACCGUACGGGUGACAGCAGUCGAGUAAUUUUUCACAAGUGGGGGAAACCUAGGAAGGACGCGACCGGCCGCGGUGGAACGGGAGUA
Molecule: ribosomal RNA, 414 nt
Filed under: uncultured soil bacterium
Lineage: Bacteria
Description: bacterial SSU rRNA
Rfam family: Bacterial small subunit ribosomal RNA
Source: RNAcentral